RNAcentral lists this ribosomal RNA (2927 nucleotides) under Cronobacter sakazakii. Its description in RNAcentral is "bacterial LSU rRNA". It matches the Rfam family "Bacterial large subunit ribosomal RNA". The record is from RNAcentral. Lineage: Bacteria; Pseudomonadati; Pseudomonadota; Gammaproteobacteria; Enterobacterales; Enterobacteriaceae.
GGGUUGUGAGGUUAAGCGAACAAGCGUACACGGUGGAUGCCCUGGCAGUCAGAGGCGAUGAAGGACGUGCUAAUCUGCGAAAAGCGCCGGUAAGGUGAUAUGAACCGUUAUAACCGGCGAUGUCCGAAUGGGGAAACCCGGUGCACUUCGGUGCAUCAUCGUUAGCUGAAUACAUAGGCUAACGAGGCGAACCGGGGGAACUGAAACAUCUAAGUACCCCGAGGAAAAGAAAUCAACCGAGAUUCCCCCAGUAGCGGCGAGCGAACGGGGAACAGCCCAGAGCCUGAAUCAGCUUGUGUGUCAGUGGAACGGUCUGGAAAGGCCGGCGAUACAGGGUGACAGCCCCGUACACGAAGGCACACAGGCUGUGAGCUCGAUGAGUAGGGCGGGACACGUGAUAUCCUGUCUGAAGAUGGGGGGACCAUCCUCCAAGGCUAAAUACUCCUGACUGACCGAUAGUGAACCAGUACCGUGAGGGAAAGGCGAAAAGAACCCCGGCGAGGGGAGUGAAACAGAACCUGAAACCGUGUACGUACAAGCAGUGGGAGCCUUCGUAAGAGGGUGACUGCGUACCUUUUGUAUAAUGGGUCAGCGACUUAUAUUCUGUAGCAAGGUUAACCGUAUAGGGGAGCCGAAGGGAAACCGAGUCUUAAUUGGGCGUUAAGUUGCAGGGUAUAGACCCGAAACCCGGUGAUCUAGCCAUGGGCAGGUUGAAGGUUGGGUAACACUAACUGGAGGACCGAACCGACUAAUGUUGAAAAAUUAGCGGAUGACCUGUGGCUGGGGGUGAAAGGCCAAUCAAACCGGGAGAUAGCUGGUUCUCCCCGAAAGCUAUUUAGGUAGCGCCUCGUGAACUCAUCUCCGGGGGUAGAGCACUGUUUCGGCUAGGGGGCCAUCCCGGCUUACCAACCCGAUGCAAACUGCGAAUACCGGAGAAUGUUAUCACGGGAGACACACGGCGGGUGCUAACGUCCGUCGUGAAGAGGGAAACAACCCAGACCGCCAGCUAAGGUCCCAAAGUCAUGGUUAAGUGGGAAACGAUGUGGGAAGGCCCAGACAGCCAGGAUGUUGGCUUAGAAGCAGCCAUCAUUUAAAGAAAGCGUAAUAGCUCACUGGUCGAGUCGGCCUGCGCGGAAGAUGUAACGGGGCUAAACCAUGCACCGAAGCUGCGGCAGCGACACUAUGUGUUGUUGGGUAGGGGAGCGUUCUGUAAGCCUGCGAAGGUGUGCUGUGAGGCAUGCUGGAGGUAUCAGAAGUGCGAAUGCUGACAUAAGUAACGAUAAAGCGGGUGAAAAGCCCGCUCGCCGGAAGACCAAGGGUUCCUGUCCAACGUUAAUCGGGGCAGGGUGAGUCGACCCCUAAGGCGAGGCCGAAAGGCGUAGUCGAUGGGAAACAGGUUAAUAUUCCUGUACUUGGUGUUACUGCGAAGGGGGGACGGAGAAGGCUAUGUCGGCCGGGCGACGGUUGUCCCGGUUUAAGCGUGUAGGCUGACUUUCCAGGCAAAUCCGGAAGGUUAAGGCUGAGGCGUGAUGACGAGGCACCACGGUGCUGAAGUGACAAAUGCCCUGCUUCCAGGAAAAGCCUCUAAGCAUCAGGUAACAUCAAAUCGUACCCCAAACCGACACAGGUGGUCAGGUAGAGAAUACCAAGGCGCUUGAGAGAACUCGGGUGAAGGAACUAGGCAAAAUGGUGCCGUAACUUCGGGAGAAGGCACGCUGACAUGUAGGUGAAGCCCCUGCGGGUGGAGCUGAAGUCAGUCGAAGAUACCAGCUGGCUGCAACUGUUUAUUAAAAACACAGCACUGUGCAAACACGAAAGUGGACGUAUACGGUGUGACGCCUGCCCGGUGCCGGAAGGUUAAUUGAUGGGGUUAUCGCAAGAGAAGCUCCUGAUCGAAGCCCCGGUAAACGGCGGCCGUAACUAUAACGGUCCUAAGGUAGCGAAAUUCCUUGUCGGGUAAGUUCCGACCUGCACGAAUGGCGUAAUGAUGGCCAGGCUGUCUCCACCCGAGACUCAGUGAAAUUGAACUCGCUGUGAAGAUGCAGUGUACCCGCGGCAAGACGGAAAGACCCCGUGAACCUUUACUACAGCUUGACACUGAACAUUGAGCCUUGAUGUGUAGGAUAGGUGGGAGGCUUUGAAGCGUGGACGCCAGUCUGCGUGGAGCCGACCUUGAAAUACCACCCUUUAAUGUUUGAUGUUCUAACCUGGCGCCGUGAUCCGGCGUGGGGACAGUGUCUGGUGGGUAGUUUGACUGGGGCGGUCUCCUCCCAAAGUGUAACGGAGGAGCACGAAGGUCAGCUAAUCCUGGUCGGACAUCAGGAGGUUAGUGCAAUGGCAUAAGCUGGCUUGACUGCGAGAGUGACGGCUCGAGCAGGUGCGAAAGCAGGUCAUAGUGAUCCGGUGGUUCUGUAUGGAAGGGCCAUCGCUCAACGGAUAAAAGGUACUCCGGGGAUAACAGGCUGAUACCGCCCAAGAGUUCAUAUCGACGGCGGUGUUUGGCACCUCGAUGUCGGCUCAUCACAUCCUGGGGCUGAAGUAGGUCCCAAGGGUAUGGCUGUUCGCCAUUUAAAGUGGUACGCGAGCUGGGUUUAGAACGUCGUGAGACAGUUCGGUCCCUAUCUGCCGUGGGCGCUGGAGAAUUGAGGGGGGCUGCUCCCAGUACGAGAGGACCGGAGUGGACGCAUCACUGGUGUUCGGGUUGUCAUGCCAAUGGCACUGCCCGGUAGCUAAAUGCGGAAGAGAUAAGUGCUGAAAGCAUCUAAGCACGAAACUUGCCCCGAGAUGAGUUCUCCCUGAGACUGUAAGUCUCCUGAAGGAACGUUGAAGACGACGACGUUGAUAGGCCGGGUGUGUAAGCGCAGCGAUGCGUUGAGCUAACCGGUACUAAUGAACCGUGAGGCUUAACCUUACAACGCCAAAGAAGU